ACUCCUACGGGAGGCAGCAGUGGGGAAUAUUGCACAAUGGGCGCAAGCCUGAUGCAGCCAUGCCGCGUGUAUGAAGAAGGCCUUCGGGUUGUAAAGUACUUUCAGCAGUGAGGAAGGUGGAUAUGUUAAUAGCAUAUUCAUUUGACGUUAGCUGCAGAAGAAGCACCGGCUAACUCCGUGCCAGCAGCCGCGGUAAUACGGAGGGUGCGAGCGUUAAUCGGAAUUACUGGGCGUAAAGCGCAUGCAGGUGGUUUGUUAAGUCAGAUGUGAAAGCCCGGGGCUCAACCUCGGAAUUGCAUUUGAAACUGGCAAACUAGAGUACUGUAGAGGGGGGUAGAAUUUCAGGUGUAGCGGUGAAAUGCGUAGAGAUCUGAAGGAAUACCGGUGGCGAAGGCGGCCCCCUGGACAGAUACUGACACUCAGAUGCGAAAGCGUGGGGAGCAAACAGGAUUAGAUACCCUGGUAAGCUCAGCUAGUCGUAGAGGAC
This 487-nucleotide ribosomal RNA is filed under the name uncultured bacterium. RNAcentral's name for it is "bacterial SSU rRNA". It matches the Rfam family "Bacterial small subunit ribosomal RNA", at positions 335 to 816 of the family's 1533-position model. The record is from RNAcentral.